This 497-nucleotide ribosomal RNA is filed under the name uncultured bacterium. RNAcentral's name for it is "partial 16S ribosomal RNA". It matches the Rfam family "Bacterial small subunit ribosomal RNA", at positions 28 to 507 of the family's 1533-position model. The record is from RNAcentral.
GAUGAACGCUGGCGGCGUGCCUAAUACAUGCAAGUCGAGCGAACAGACGAGGAGCUUGCUCCUCUGACGUUAGCGGCGGAAGGGUGAGUAACACGUGGAUAACCUACCUAUAAGACUGGGAUAACUUCGGGAAACCGGAGCUAAUACCGGAUAAUAUAUUGAACCGCAUGGUUCAAUAGUGAAAGACGGUUUUGCUGUCACUUAUAGAUGGAUCCGCGCCGCAUUAGCUAGUUGGUAAGGUAACGGCUUACCAAGGCAACGAUGCGUAGCCGACCUGAGAGGGUGAUCGGCCACACUGGAACUGAGACACGGUCCAGACUCCUACGAGAGGCAGCAGUAGGGAAUCUUCCGCAAUGGGCGAAAGCUUGACGGAGCAACGCCGCGUGAGUGAUGAAGGUCUUCGGAUCGUAAAACUCUGUUAUUAGGGAAGAACAAAUGUGUAAGUAACUAUGCACGUCUUGACGGUACCUAAUCAGAAAGCCACGGCUAACUACGUG